GACGAACGCUGGCGGCGUGCCUAAUACAUGCAAGUAGAACGCUGAAGGAGGAGCUUGCUUCUCUGGAUGAGUUGCGAACGGGUGAGUAACGCGUAGGUAACCUGCCUGGUAGCGGGGGAUAACUAUUGGAAACGAUAGCUAAUACCGCAUAAUAGUAGAUGUUGCAUGACAUUUUCUUAAAAGGUGCAAUUGCAUCACUACCAGAUGGACCUGCGUUGUAUUAGCUAGUUGGUGAGGUAACGGCUCACCAAGGCAACGAUACAUAGCCGACCUGAGAGGGUGAUCGGCCACACUGGGACUGAGACACGGCCCAGACUCCUACGGGAGGCAGCAGUAGGGAAUCUUCGGCAAUGGACGGAAGUCUGACCGAGCAACGCCGCGUGAGUGAAGAAGGGUUUCGGAUCGUAAAGCUCUGUUGUAAGAGAAGAACGAGUGUGAGAGUGGAAAGUUCACACUGUGACGGUAUCUUACCAGAAAGGGACGGCUAACUACGUG
This 495-nucleotide ribosomal RNA is filed under the name uncultured bacterium. Its description in RNAcentral is "partial 16S ribosomal RNA". It matches the Rfam family "Bacterial small subunit ribosomal RNA", at positions 28 to 507 of the family's 1533-position model. The record is from RNAcentral.